Molecule: ribosomal RNA, 234 nt
Filed under: uncultured microorganism
Description: partial 16S ribosomal RNA
Rfam family: Archaeal small subunit ribosomal RNA
Source: RNAcentral
GUGCACCAGGCGAGAAACCUCCGCAAUGCUCGAAAGAGCGACGGGGGGACUCCAAGUGCCUACGGCUCAGCGUAGGCCUGUUCCCGAGCCUAAAAAGCUCGGGGAGUAAGGGCUGGGUAAGACGGGUGCCAGCCGCCGCGGUAAUACCCGCAGCCCGAGUGGUGCCGCUAUUAUUGGGCCUAAAGCGGUCCGUAGCCGGCUCGGUAAAUGCCUGGGUAAAUCGGUCUGGCCCAA